CAUGUAGGCGGUCUGUCAAGUCUGAUGUGUAAGCCCGGGGCUCAACCCCGGAAGUGCAUUGGAAACUGGCAGACUUGAGUACGGGAGAGGAAAGUGGAAUUUCGAGUGUAGGGGUGAAAUCCGUAGAUAUUCGAAGGAACACCAGUGGCGAAGGCGGCUUUCUGGACCGAUACUGACGCUGAGAUGCGAAAGCGUGGGGAGCAAACAGGAUUAGAUACCCUGGUAGUCC
RNAcentral lists this ribosomal RNA (229 nucleotides) under uncultured bacterium. RNAcentral describes it as "partial 16S ribosomal RNA". It matches the Rfam family "Bacterial small subunit ribosomal RNA", at positions 568 to 796 of the family's 1533-position model. The record is from RNAcentral.